This is a long non-coding RNA of Thalassophryne amazonica, 325 nucleotides long. RefSeq lists it as uncharacterized. The transcript has 2 exons. NCBI's taxonomy places the organism in Eukaryota, Metazoa, Chordata, Actinopteri, Batrachoidiformes, Batrachoididae. The record is from RefSeq and is a predicted model, not a curated record.
AAUGCAAAUAUCAUUUUGCUGAUUCUAAAUCUUGCCAAAUCUUGACACACACAAAAACAAAGGGCCCUAUCUUGAUGAGCUAAGUUGCAUGGUCUAAAGUGUGGGGCAAAAGUGCAACUGGGCCGUUCCAACUUCACUUUGCCAUUAAUGGGAUGUGUAAUUUCAUUCUGAAGUAAGGUGCACGCCAUUAAAGGAGGUGUACUUAGUCUCCGCAGUAGCUAUGGACUGCCAUCUCUCACUGUCUCCACAGGAGUGUGCGCUUGAAGCUGGAGCAGAGCUAUUUUAGGUGACAGACACAGAAAUAAGAGGUUUUCUGGGCAGAAAA